AUGUGCCUGGUGGUGGUGUGCGACGAGCCGGAGCGCGUGGUGGCGACGUACCAGGCGGCAGGGCGUUGCCCCUACUGCGGCGGCGGGGUGGUGGCGACCGACGUGGAGAGCGCGCCCAGGCUCUGCUACGUCCCGCUCUGCUUCCGCGUCCGCCGCCGCUUCCACUGCUCCCUCUGCUCCCGACGGCUCGCCUCCAUCGCCUGA
RNAcentral lists this ribosomal RNA (204 nucleotides) under Triticum aestivum (bread wheat). RNAcentral's name for it is "partial small subunit ribosomal RNA". Lineage: Eukaryota; Viridiplantae; Streptophyta; Magnoliopsida; Poales; Poaceae. The record is from RNAcentral.